AUUGAACGCUGGCGGCAUGCCUUACACAUGCAAGUCGAACGGCAGCACGGGAGCAAUCCUGGUGGCGAGUGGCGAACGGGUGAGUAAUAUAUCGGAACGUGCCCAGUCGUGGGGAUAACGUAGCGAAAGCGUACGCUAAUACCGCAUACGAUCUAUGGAUGAAAGCGGGGGGAUCGCAGACCUCGCGCGAUUGGAGCGGCCGAUAUCAGAUUAGGUAGUUGGUGAGGUAAAGGCUCGCCAAGCCGACGAUCUGUAGCUGGUCUGAGAGGACGACCAGCCACACUGGGACUGAGACACGGCCCAGACUCCUACGGGAGGGCA
Molecule: ribosomal RNA, 321 nt
Filed under: uncultured bacterium
Lineage: Bacteria
Description: bacterial SSU rRNA
Rfam family: Bacterial small subunit ribosomal RNA
Source: RNAcentral